This 460-nucleotide ribosomal RNA is filed under the name uncultured bacterium. RNAcentral's name for it is "partial 16S ribosomal RNA". It matches the Rfam family "Bacterial small subunit ribosomal RNA", at positions 338 to 795 of the family's 1533-position model. The record is from RNAcentral.
CCUACGGGUGGCAGCAGUGAGGAAUAUUGGUCAAUGGGCGCUAGCCUGAACCAGCCAAGUAGCGUGAAGGAUGACUGCCCUAUGGGUUGUAAACUUCUUUUAUAUGGGAAUAAAGUGCAGUAUGUAUACAGCAUUGCAUGUACCUUAUGAAUAAGGAUGGGCUACCUCCGUGCCAGCAGCCGCGGUAAUACGGAGGAUCCGAGCGGUGUCCGGAUUUAGUGGGUUGAAAGGGAGCGUAGGCGGGUUGUUAAGUCAGUUGUGAAAGUUUGCGGCUCAACCCUGAAACUGCAGUUGAUACUGGCAUCCUUGAGUACAGGAGAGGUCAGCGGAAUUCGUGGUGUAGCGGUGACAUGCUUAGAUAUCACGAAGAACUCCGCUUGCGAAGGCGGCCUGCUGGACUGUAACUGACGCUGAUGCUCGAAAGUGUGGGUAUCAAACAGGAUUAGAUACCCUUGUAGUC